Molecule: unclassified non-coding RNA, 439 nt
Filed under: uncultured Tomentella
Lineage: Eukaryota; Fungi; Basidiomycota; Agaricomycetes; Thelephorales; Thelephoraceae
Description: sequence contains ITS2
Rfam family: 5.8S ribosomal RNA (bases 1-155)
Source: RNAcentral
AACUGUUAGCAAUGGAUCACUUGGCUCUCGCAUCGAUGAAGAACGCAGCGAAAUGCGAUAAGUAAUGUGAAUUGCAGAAUUCAGUGAAUCAUCGAAUCUUUGAACGCACCUUGCGCCCCUUGGCUAUUCCGAGGGGCAUGCCUGUUUGAGUAUCAUGAACAUCUCAACUCUCACGCUUUGCUGUGAUGAGCUUGGACUUUUGGGGGUUUUGCUGGCCCUAUGGUCAGUUCCUCUGAAACAGUUCAGCUUGCCGGUGUUUGGUUGCGUCACGGGUGUGAUAUGUAUCUACGCUUGCGAUUGUCUGGUAAGUACCCCUCGGUGACGGAGGUUCGCUGGAGCUUAUAAACGUCUCUCCUCAGCGAAGACAGCUUUUUGACCGUUCGAUCUCAAAUCAGGUAGGACUACCCGCUGAACUUAAGCAUAUCAAUAAGCGGAGGCU